CAAGUUGAUCCGGAAGUCUCUUACGGAUCAAGUUGAUCCGGAAGAGACUUACGGAUCAACUUA
RNAcentral lists this microRNA precursor (63 nucleotides) under Glycine max (soybean). RNAcentral's name for it is "miR4361 stem-loop (gma-MIR4361)". The record is from miRBase by way of RNAcentral. Lineage: Eukaryota; Viridiplantae; Streptophyta; Magnoliopsida; Fabales; Fabaceae.